This 1428-nucleotide ribosomal RNA is filed under the name uncultured bacterium. RNAcentral describes it as "bacterial SSU rRNA". It matches the Rfam family "Bacterial small subunit ribosomal RNA". The record is from RNAcentral.
UGCAGUCGAGCGGANCUUUCGGGGUCAGCGGCGGACGGGUGAGUAACACGUGGGCAAUCUGCCCGAUACUCUGGGAUAACGCUUGGAAACGAGUGCUAAUACCGGAUGGUCUUCUUGGCCGCAUGGCCGAGAAGGAAAAGACGCGUUCGCGUCGGUGUCGGAUGAGCCCGCGGCGCAUUAGCUAGUUGGUGAGGUAACGGCCCACCAAGGCGACGAUGCGUAGCCGACCUGAGAGGGUGACCGGCCACACUGGGACUGAGACACGGCCCAGACUCCUACGGGAGGCAGCAGUAGGGAAUCUUCCACAAUGGGCGAAAGCCUGAUGGAGCAACGCCGCGUGAGUGAUGAAGGCCUUCGGGUUGUAAAACUCUGUCAUUCGGGACGAACCGGAGUCUGAGGAAAUGCAGACUCUCUGACGGUACCGGAGGAGGAAGCCCCGGCUAACUACGUGCCAGCAGCCGCGGUAAUACGUAGGGGGCAAGCGUUGUCCGGAUUCACUGGGCGUAAAGCGCGCGCAGGCGGUGAUGUAAGUCUGAGGUGAAAACCCGAAGCUCAACUUCGGGACUGCCUUGGAUACUGCGUCACUUGAGGAUAGGAGAGGCAAGGGGAAUUCCACGUGUAGCGGUGAAAUGCGUAGAGAUGUGGAGGAACACCKGUGGCGAAGGCGCCUUGCUGGCCUAUUUCCGACGCUGAGGCGCGAAAGCGUGGGGGAGCAAACAGGAUUAGAUACCCUGGUAGUCCACGCUGUAAACGAUGAGUGCUAGGUGUAGGUGGGCUCAUACCCAUCUGUGCCGAAGCUAACGCAUUAAGCACUCCGCCUGGGGAGUACGGUCGCAAGACUGAAACUCAAAGGAAUUGACGGGGGCCCGCACAAGCAGUGGAGCAUGUGGUUUAAUUCGAAGCAACGCGAAGAACCUUACCAGGACUUGACAUCCCAUAGACCAGUCUAGAGAUAGACUUUCCCUUCGGGGCUGUGGUGACAGGUGGUGCAUGGUUGUCGUCAGCUCGUGUCGUGAGAUGUUGGGUUAAGUCCCGCAACGAGCGCAACCCUUACUUUGUGUUGCCAGCAUUCAGUUGGGCACUCACAAGGGACUGCCGCCGAUAAGGCGGAGGAAGGUGGGGGUGACGUCAAAUCAUCAUGCCCCUUAUGUCCUGGGCUACACACGUGCUACAAUGGGCGGUACAACGGGAUGCGAAGCCGCGAGGUGGAGCCAAACCCUGAAAACCGUUCGUAGUUCGGAUUGUAGGCUGCAACUCGCCUACAUGAAGCCGGAAUUGCUAGUAAUCGCGGAUCAGCAUGCCGCGGUGAAUCCGCUCCCGGGCCUUGUACACACCGCCCGUCACACCACGAGAAUGGGCAACACCCGAAGUCGGUGGGGUAACCUUUACGGGAGCUAGCCGCCGAAGGUGGGGCCUGUGAUUGGGGUG